AACAAACGAAUUCGAAAUGUUUUUUCGAC
RNAcentral lists this small RNA (29 nucleotides) under Bombyx mori (domestic silkworm). Its description in RNAcentral is "ovarian small RNA-10188". Lineage: Eukaryota; Metazoa; Arthropoda; Insecta; Lepidoptera; Bombycidae. The record is from RNAcentral.